Non-coding RNA from Acidobacteria bacterium 13_1_40CM_4_58_4, 74 nucleotides. NCBI's taxonomy places the organism in Bacteria, Pseudomonadati, Acidobacteriota. The record is from Rfam.
CGGGGCGUAGCGCAGCCUGGUAGCGCACCUGCCUUGGGCGCAGGGGGUCGGAGGUUCAAAUCCUCUCGCCCCGA